CAGCCGCCGCGGUAAUACGUAGGUGGCAAGCGUUGUCCGGAAUUAUUGGGCGUAAAGCGCGCGCAGGCGGUCCUUUAAGUCUGAUGUGAAAUCUUGCGGCUCAACCGCAAGCGGCCAUUGGAAACUGGGGGACUUGAGUGCAGGAGAGGGAAGUGGAAUUCCACGUGUAGCGGUGAAAUGCGUAGAGAUGUGGAGGAACACCAGUGGCGAAGGCGGCUUCCUGGCCUGUAACUGACGCUGAGGCGCGAAAGCGUGGGGAGCAAACAGGAUUAGAUACCCUGGUAGUCCACGCCGUAAACGAUGAGUGCUAAGUGUUAGGGGGUUUCCGCCCUUAGUGCUGCAGCUAACGCAUUAAGCACUCCGCCUGGGGAGUACGGCCGCAAGGCUGAAACUUAAAGGAAUUGGCGGG
This 409-nucleotide ribosomal RNA is filed under the name uncultured microorganism. RNAcentral's name for it is "bacterial SSU rRNA". It matches the Rfam family "Bacterial small subunit ribosomal RNA", at positions 509 to 917 of the family's 1533-position model. The record is from RNAcentral.